Lotus japonicus is the source of this 2864-nucleotide long non-coding RNA. RefSeq lists it as uncharacterized. The transcript has 4 exons. The record is from RefSeq and is a predicted model, not a curated record. Lineage: Eukaryota; Viridiplantae; Streptophyta; Magnoliopsida; Fabales; Fabaceae.
UUUUGUUAUUGUUUUCUUUCAAUUCAAUUUCCCAUUUUUUUUGGUAGAAAUUCAUUGAUACAUAGAUGAAUGAGUUAUUUGAUUUUACCCUUUUUCUUUUUUAUUGUACUGGGAAACCUCAAUAAUAGUUAUGGGGAUGUCAAUGUUAUAGUGCAUACAAUACAUAAGCUCACACAUCCUUCUAUAUUGGCAUCACAUCCAAUAUCAUCUUUUUCAUUAUUGGCUCAUAUUUGCUGAUAGCUUUCUUUGUGGAUGAGGGGAUCAGAUCAUGUUGGAGGUUGCUGCACAUGGGGUAUGAGGAAAUAAACGAUUUCUAUUUAAUAUUUCCCUUCCCUUUAUACUUUUUCUUGGUUUAAAGCUUUUUCUAUAUGAUCACAUGAAUGCUUAUUCCCUUAAUUUGCAUCUAAGAAUGAUUUAGAUCCAUUCAAGAUGGUCUUGAAGUCACAUUAAGUGAGAUGGAGGAUAGAGUUAGUUCUUGGAAGAGAGAAGUGAUUUGGUUGCUGGAGAAUGAGAAAAGGUGUUGGUGAAGGUCCUACUAAGGUUCUUGGAUUUGUGUUUUCUGGUUUGGUGGAGAUGGGGGUGUGAGUUAUGGUUUGAUGUGGACAGGCUAUGGUGGUAGAGGUUGAGGGAAAUGGUGAAGGGUAUUGUGCUCUAGGUUGUGUUUAGUCUUUCACAAUUUAGUCAUUUACCUCUAUAGUUUGUUUGUCCUCUCCUAAAGUUAGUUUCCUCUAUACUUUGGAACCUUUGUAUUGAAGUGAGUCUUGAAGAUCUAUAGAGCUAGCUAACAUAUUGUUGUAUUCAUUCUUUAACUAUUUAGUCCUUUCCUAAUCCCUAAGUUUCAUUUUUAAUAUAUUGUGGUAGUUUAGAGUUUUAAAAUAAAUAUAAAGCCAUUCUUGAUUUCUUUAUUGUGUCUCCCGAAGUUAUAAGGGCACUGUAAAUUGUUGCAGCACUAGAAUAGGACCUAUAGUACAGGAAGGAGUACCUGGUAACUAUGAUCAGAACAAGGUUAUGUGAAGUGACAGUUUGGGAUGUUGUAUUUCAUUUAAGUUGGGUUGCACAUCAUGUUGGAUGGGGCACAUUUGGUUUUAGGAUGAUAAUUCUUAUUUUCUGUCAAAUCUUCCAUUGAAGUUUUUGGUGCUAUUAAACUUUUAUUAUUGUUAAGUCUCGGUUACCAGAAUCAGAUAGACUGUCAAAAUUUCCAUUAAAAGAUAAGGUUAGUGCUUAGUACUUCUAUUGAUUGAUUAUGAUAGCCAUGUCAAAGAUUGAUUUAUCAUGAGGGUAAGCAAAAGUGUAAUUGUUAAUAUGAAGGUCACCAUCUUUGUAAGAGUCAUUGUCGCGUCUCUUUUCUCAUUUUCCAGGAGCAAGUUUUAUACCUUGAGUUUUGCCGUUGGUUUUGUGUUUUCUUUCACUUUUGAUUCUUUUUUUUUUUACUAAGAAAGCUACAUCUGUGUAGGCUAGCAUCUUCAUUGCUGGAGCUAAAUGGUGAGCUAAAGUGGAAGUGAAAAAUUCUAGAAGAGAGGAAUUGCAACUGAUGCUUUGUGUACAAUUUGCUAAACUGAAUAUGAACCACAGAUCUCCGCGAAGACAAGCACUAUUUGCCUGAUCAUCCUGGCCUGGUGCCUGUCACUUCUGAGCAAGUAUCUUCAUUUAUUACCUGUUUAGAGUUCAACAUGCAGUAUUUUUUUGUGGAAACUGUUGGCUUUAGCUCAUAACUAGGGCGAGGAGCUCUGCAAACAGAUUGGAGCUACCUAUUAUAUUGAACUCAAAAACUUAGCAGGUUUGGCAUAUGGUGCAAUCAGGCUAAAUUCCAAUUCUGGUGAGCUUCAUCUGCACCAUAGAAGGAGCAGAUAUAUGAGUGUUCUGGCUCUUUCCACUCUGUUCGUGGUCUUGUGCUGUGAAACCGGAAUUUUUGUCCAUCUACUUAGCUUUUUAUUGAUAUGUUGAUCCUAAUUGGUUGACUUACUAUGAGGCUGCGGUGGCCAUUAUCAAGUGACCUUUGGAUUGAAGCAUGUAGCGGAUAAGGGAUCGAUUACAACUUUGUCUGCUCGAUUUUACCAUAAGGACUACAUUUCCAAUAUUAGACAUUUUUACUCCUCAAAGGUGGGUGUGAUUUUGGCAUCAAGCUGGAGGUUUGAUGAAGACUAAAGUGAAUCCAAGUGUAGCAUCAAAAUAUAUGAUGUGUAACUCAGAGAGAUUCACUACAGGACCAACACUGGUCAUCUUGUCCUGCCGCUGCAGAUCCGAGUCGUGCCAAUAAUGACUUAUUGUUUGAGGAUGAAGACAAUAAUGUAGUUAGUGAUGAUGGAUCUGAUGAUGAAGUUGAAGAGAUGCAUUGUAAGCAGUUGUCUUGGAUGCUUGAUAUCACUACUGAUCUUAUCAAUGGGAACGAAUCUUUGGUUUGUUUUGUGUUUUUCUUUACUAAUACAUUGUUAGUAUUGAUUUAUUUGCAUUAUUUAUGUUGUGAAAUUCAAAUACAUAGAUUCUCCCCAAUCGUGUCCAGUAAGAAUAUUUCGUAUACUUACCUCCUUAAAUAAGUAUUCUCCUUCUAGAUGGAUCUUGGACCAAUUGGAAAAUUCUUUAGCGUUGCAAGUGGUUUGACUUUUAUAGGACUGAAUUUAGGAGGCUUGGUAAUUCUAUUGCAGUUCACAAGAUGCAGUUAAUGGAAAAUGCCCUAGCCAAAUAGAUUCAAGGUUCAUGUAUUCUCCUACAAUCUAUCUUGAAGAAGUUGUAACUUUGAUCCAUCUCUUUUGAUUAUCGUAUUUAGACUUUUCUUGAAUUGUGGUACUUUUUGUGUUUACAUGUAUACUUGAAUGAUAAAACUAUCCAAGGUUGGAAAUGCACGUGGAAGUUGAAUUUGUUGUAAC